Molecule: long non-coding RNA, 1142 nt
Filed under: Olea europaea subsp. europaea
Lineage: Eukaryota; Viridiplantae; Streptophyta; Magnoliopsida; Lamiales; Oleaceae
Source: RNAcentral
UUACAUAAAAUGUAAAUUUUAUAGAAAUGUAAAAAAGGCCGCCAUUAAACAUUUCUACAUAUUAGCAUUAAAUAAGUUCAUUUUUCUGAGUGGAGGCAUUCUAACCUCGAUCUCGAAAAAGUUCGGGUUCUACAAGUCAUUGGUGCAAAGAGUUCAUUUGAUGAUUUUGCAAAAGAGAAUAAGAAGAAAUUACAGCAUGAUAUAUCCGAUUAUGUAUUGACUAAUUUUGAGACCAAUCAAAUUAAUCGCCUUUGUAACCAGAUAAUAUGUUGGCAAUAUAUUCACCUUGAAAUUGUUAAAUUUGGUUCUUUGAGGAAAUUUAUAUGCAUGAACUGAGACUUUGUCUAAAGAAUGUUUUUUCUAAAGCUACUAAUUAGUUUGGGUAAGAUGAUAUUCUAUUAUUUUCAAUUUUUUACCGAUCCAUUUUUUUUAUUUAGUUUAUCGAACUUAAUCCGUUAGUACUCACUAGUAUGGGAAUACAUGGAAUUGUGCAUUCAAUGACAAGUUCUAACAUAUCAGGUCAUUUACAUUUUCUUUAAUUACGACUUUACUCUUCUUCUAGCAUAACCUCCUGCUUUGAUUAUACACCCUUUGUAUUUGGUUAUCCAUUUUUAGUAAGUCACUAUUUAGCCCCCAUAAUUCGAAAUUUUAAUGGUUGGAAUAGUGUUUUUUUUAAUUCUGUGAUUUAAAAAGAAAAUAAGUUUUAGGAUAACGUGUAAUAUUAUUUUAUUAAAAAAUAUAUGGUUGAUAAGAAGAUAGAGAAAAAAAUUAUAAUUUCAAUAGGCCCAAACAAAAGCUAAAUAAUACACACUGCAAAGCUUGUUUUUCUGAGAUGGAAACAAUCGUUAUAUUGAAUCAUACCAUUCAUUUUUUUUUAAUAUUUAACUGUAUUUAUUAUGCAGGAAAUUUUUAUGGCUUGUAUGGUGUAAAGCAUUUGGCACAUCAACUUUUUUUCCGAAGUAUAUCAAUUUUGUACAGCAAUGGUUCAUGUGUUCCCAUUAAACUUCUCCACCUAAUUCUUUGUUUACUAACUCGAUUGGAAUCAAUUUUCCUGAGGAUGUGUUAGCUGUUAAACAAACCAAUCAAUUGUAUCAUAUACUCAGUUUCACUUAUAAUACAUAUACAUAAUAAAAAUGUUUUUG